Long non-coding RNA from Anguilla rostrata (American eel), 1854 nucleotides. RefSeq lists it as uncharacterized. The record is from RefSeq and is a predicted model, not a curated record. The transcript has 2 exons. NCBI's taxonomy places the organism in Eukaryota, Metazoa, Chordata, Actinopteri, Anguilliformes, Anguillidae.
UAGAGCCGCCGGGAGGGCUCCGGACGCACCCAUAACGCACCCCAUAACACACCCCAUGCUGACCCCCUCUGCCCGCUCUCACGCUGUUUAGAGUGGUUACACAUUAAUCAGUUAGCUGUGUUAGCUGUGACUGCAGUUCCAACAGCAGGGUUAAUAAUGGUAGGGCUUAGCUAGCUGGUACAGCAGGUAAGUGGGUUUGCGUGAAGUGUCACCGGUGGAAUAUGAGAAGUGAGUCCUGGAGAGAUGGGGAGAUCGGUGGUGUUUUCUCCUCUUGUUGAGGGGCUUCUGAGUGUACUGCUAAGAGAAGAAUAAGAAAGUAAUUUGGCCUUCGUCAACCUACUUGCAAAAAAAGAACAAGUAUGCUUUCUGUGGAUUUCAGACGCCAUUCAGACCAUGAUCGAACUAGUUGCAUUAUAGCCUGAGUCAGGCAGAUUUAUGAUGUCAGAGAUUCAGAGGUCACUGAGCAGACCUCUGAAUCAUGAACACAUUUUUAUAUUUCUGCCUACCCAGACAGUUAAAAUUUAAAAAAUGAAAUGUAGUCAGAAAGCUUGGUCACCUCGUCUCACAGACAGGGUGAAUCUCAAACGUAGCCCUCCUGCUGCUCAUUUCUGCAGUGCUAAAUCUCCUUCUCCCUUGAUGGCUGCAGCUCUGCUUUAAUGUGAGUGAAUGUGGGCUGUGUGGUGUCCCCUUCAGCCCUGUACUGCUGUGUCACCCUAACCGGGCUCAGGUGAUUGGUGUAGCUCGGGAAUGAUUAUUGUGUCAUCCUAACCAGGCUCAGAUGAUUGGUGCAGUUGGUAGUGAUUAUUCUGAGCUGCAUCCAUGCCUGGGGGGUGGUUCCACCAGGACCAUCUUCCUUUGUCUCCCACUCUUCCUCCUCCCUAGCUUCUGGGGAAAGUGCAUCUCUGUGAUGUCACAGCAGUGCUCCCCCUGCUGUUGUGAUAUCACAGCAGCGUUGUGAGAGUGACACUUGUUGCCCCCCCUCCCCCCAAAACGCUUCCCCCCAACAUCCCGCCUCCCCAGUCACCAAAGCACACCACUGCGCAAGCUCUCAGGCUUCAUAGCACUUUGACAUUCAUUCACUUGUUCAUAAAUCAUCCACCCAUGUGUUCAUUGUAGCAUCCUUUCAUUGGCUUUCUAACGUGGAUCGUGUGGUACGUGGAGUAAUGAGAUUGAUGAUAACCUCUAACCAGAUCACUGUGUGACCAGGCUGCAUUGUGCUACUGGCGUAGGGAGCGAUUUGCACUUUACAUUUAAAAUGUAACAGUAUUUAAUUCAAAUAACCAGAGCUUACAUUUUCAUGGCAACCCCUUGCUUUUAACAGAAAAUUAUGCUUGGGUACUUGGAAUUGUCUGUGAGUGUGUUGGUUAACCACAGGGAAACAGCUCACACCCAUGUUUUUAGAUGCUGUGGAGAACUAGCAUGUAGGCUGUUUUAAUUCAGAUUUUUGUUUCUUCAUAUUGUAAAAGUAGCUGUAUAAGCUCUGUUGCACUUUCCUUUUAAGAGAUAAUUUCAGCUUGUUAGUGUUUGUCAGACCAGGAGCCAUAUCUGGGUACUGUGGCCUCCUUCAUGUAAGCACUUAGAAGGCAUGUGAUAAGGGAGGUGAAGCAGUGAACUGACUGCAGUGCCACCAGUUUCUUGUGUUCUUCCAUAGCAGUCAAUGCCACUCAUUAGAUAGUUAAUAGUGUUCUUAACAAUUGGCUCCGAGCAUGGGGAUGACGGCUAACUGUAGUACCUGUAUCCAUUCAAUGGAAUACCCAGUUGCACUACUCAUACUUUAAAUUUUUUUAAUGGAAUGUAGUGGUUUGCUCUCAAUAAAUAAAUAAAUAAAAUAAAUAAAAUGAUCUAGUUGUGAAA